Molecule: long non-coding RNA, 199 nt
Filed under: Lathyrus oleraceus (garden pea)
Lineage: Eukaryota; Viridiplantae; Streptophyta; Magnoliopsida; Fabales; Fabaceae
Description: Pisum sativum (pea) long non-coding RNA (PSAT_LNC036277)
Source: RNAcentral
UUAAUUUGACCCAUUUAUAAAUGUGCUCACAUAUUAAUUUUAUUUAAAGACGAGUAAGGUGAAACAUGAGUGUUUCUAUUAAUAUUAAAUACUUAUCAAAAUAGUUUUGAACCAACAUUUCUAUGCUAUUAUUAGUCCGUGUAUAAUGGCUAUAAUGGUUCACUUUUAAAUUCUUUUGAACUCCUUAGCUUCAUUAAAU